UACCGGCAGCACGAGUGAUGACCGCUAUUAUUGGGCCUAAAGCGUCCGUAGCUGGCCAUGCAAGUCCAUCGGGAAAUCCGCGUGCUUAACGCGCGGGCGUCCGGUGGAAACUGCAUGGCUUGGAACCAGAAGACCAGAGGGGUACGUCCGGGGUAGGAGUGAAAUCCCGUAAUCCUGGACGGACCACCGGUGGCGAAAGCGCCUCUGGAAGACGGAUCCGACGGUGAGGGACGAAAGCUCGGGUCACGAACCGG
Molecule: ribosomal RNA, 254 nt
Filed under: uncultured bacterium
Lineage: Bacteria
Description: partial 16S ribosomal RNA
Rfam family: Archaeal small subunit ribosomal RNA
Source: RNAcentral